Molecule: small nuclear RNA, 164 nt
Organism: Mastomys coucha (southern multimammate mouse)
Lineage: Eukaryota; Metazoa; Chordata; Mammalia; Rodentia; Muridae
Product: U1 spliceosomal RNA
Exons: 1
Source: RefSeq, a predicted model, not a curated record
AUAUUUAGCUGGCAAGGGAGAUACCAUGAUCACAAAGGUGGUUUUCCCAGAGCGAGGCUUAUCCAUUGCACUCCGGAUGUGCUGACCACUACAAUUUCUCCAAAUGUGGGAAACUUGACUGCAUAAUUUGUGGUAGUAGAGGAUUGCAUUUGAGCUCUCCCCUG